UACGUAGGGUGCAAGCGUUAUCCGGAAUUAUUGGGCGUAAAGAGCUCGUAGGCGGUUUGUCACGUCUGCUGUGAAAACUGGAGGCUCAACCUCCAGCCUGCAGUGGGUACGGGCAGACUAGAGUGCGGUAGGGGAGAUUGGAAUUCCUGGUGUAGCGGUGGAAAUGCGCAGAUAUCAGGAGGAACACCGAUGGCGAAGGCAGAUCUCUGGGCCGUAACUGACGCUGAGGAGCGAAAGCAUGGGGAGCGAACAGG
RNAcentral lists this ribosomal RNA (254 nucleotides) under uncultured bacterium. RNAcentral describes it as "partial 16S ribosomal RNA". It matches the Rfam family "Bacterial small subunit ribosomal RNA", at positions 524 to 776 of the family's 1533-position model. The record is from RNAcentral.